This 399-nucleotide ribosomal RNA is filed under the name uncultured bacterium. RNAcentral's name for it is "partial 16S ribosomal RNA". It matches the Rfam family "Bacterial small subunit ribosomal RNA", at positions 360 to 776 of the family's 1533-position model. The record is from RNAcentral.
AAUAUUUGACAAUGGGCGCAAGCCUGAUCCAGCCAUGCCGCGUGAGUGGUGAAGGAAUUCGGGUUGUACCGCUCUUUCACCGGUGAAGAUAAUGACGGUAGCCGGAGAAGAUGCCCCGGCUAACUUCGUGCCAGCAGCCGCGGUAAUACGAAGGGGGCUAGCGUUGUUCGGAAUUACUGGGCGUAAAGCGCACGUAGGCGGAUUGGUCAGUUAGGGGUGAAAUCCCAGGGCUCAACCCUGGAACUGCCUUUAAUACUGCCAGUCUUGAGUUCGAGAGAGGUGAGUGGAAUUCCGAGUGUAGAGGUGAAAUUCGUAGAUAUUCGGAGGAACACCAGUGGCGAAGGCGGCUCACUGGCUCGAUACUGACGCUGAGGUGCGAAAGCGUGGGGAGCAAACAGG